GACGAACGCUGGCGGCGCGCUUAACACAUGCAAGUCGAACGGAAAGGCCUGCUUUCCCUUGUGGAUUGCGGGUACUCGAGUGGCGAACGGGUGGGUAACACGUGGGUGGUCUGCCCCCAACUUGGGUAUAAGCCGGGGAAACUGCGUCUAAUUCCCGAUAGGACUGCAGGGUGGUGCCUGUGGUGGAAAACGAGUUUCUAGUGGUUGGGGAUGAGCUCUCGGCCGAUCAGCUUGGUGGUGGGGUAAUGGCCUACCAAGGCGGCGACGGGUAGCCGGACUGAGAGGGUGGACGGCCACACUGGGACUGAGAUAAGGCCCAGACUCCUACGGGAGGCAGCAGUGGGGAAUAUGACACAAUGGGCGGAAGCCUGAUGCAGCGACGCCGCGUGGGGGAUGACGGCAUUCGGGUUGUAAACUCCUUUCGACCGCGAGGAAGCCACCUGGUUGGAAGGGUGGUGACGGUAGUGGUAGAAGAAGCACCGGCUAACUACGUG
RNAcentral lists this ribosomal RNA (494 nucleotides) under uncultured bacterium. RNAcentral describes it as "partial 16S ribosomal RNA". It matches the Rfam family "Bacterial small subunit ribosomal RNA", at positions 28 to 507 of the family's 1533-position model. The record is from RNAcentral.